This 302-nucleotide long non-coding RNA is filed under the name Physcomitrium patens. RNAcentral's name for it is "long non-coding RNA (PPAT_LNC010851)". The record is from RNAcentral. Lineage: Eukaryota; Viridiplantae; Streptophyta; Bryopsida; Funariales; Funariaceae.
AAUCCCUAAUAAGGCCUUAGGCAGCCUCCUUGAAGCCCAUUGGAUAUGGCCUUCGACCAAUAGGAAUGAAGUUUUUCAUUCUUUGCCUUCAUCCAACCAUGCCUUACUUUCAUCCCUCACAAUAAGCCUCCUAUUAAUUAAGAUUUUCUUCUUUAGGCUCUAAUCUCCUCUCAAGGCUUUGUACUAAACAUUUAGAUCUUACAAUUUUUUUUAAAUGCUAUAAUAAAAAAUAAAUAAAACUCAAAAUAAAGUUUCUUAAAUCUACUCUCUUUAAUUUAAUCUAUUUAUCAUCCUAACAUAUA